RNAcentral lists this transfer RNA (76 nucleotides) under Chloroflexaceae bacterium. RNAcentral's name for it is "tRNA-Arg". It matches the Rfam family "tRNA". Rfam says of the family: Transfer RNA (tRNA) molecules are approximately 80 nucleotides in length. Their secondary structure includes four short double-helical elements and three loops (D, anti-codon, and T loops). Further hydrogen bonds mediate the characteristic L-shaped molecular structure. tRNAs have two regions of fundamental functional importance: the anti-codon, which is responsible for specific mRNA codon recognition, and the 3' end, to which the tRNAs corresponding amino acid is attached (by aminoacyl-tRNA synthetases). tRNAs cope with the degeneracy of the genetic code in two manners: having more than one tRNA (with a specific anti-codon) for a particular amino acid; and 'wobble' base-pairing, i.e. permitting non-standard base-pairing at the 3rd anti-codon position. Lineage: Bacteria; Bacillati; Chloroflexota; Chloroflexia; Chloroflexales; Chloroflexaceae. The record is from RNAcentral.
GGCCCGGUAGCUCAGUGGAUUAGAGCACUGGUCUUCGGAACCAGGUGUCGGGGGUUCGAAUCCUCCCGGGUCGCCA